Molecule: ribosomal RNA, 254 nt
Filed under: uncultured bacterium
Lineage: Bacteria
Description: partial 16S ribosomal RNA
Rfam family: Bacterial small subunit ribosomal RNA
Source: RNAcentral
UACGGGGGGAGCAAGCGUUGUUCGGAUUUACUGGGCGUAAAGGGCGCGUAGGCGGCCACCGCAAGUCGAUUGUGAAAUCUCCGGGCUUAACCCGGAAAGGUCAACCGAUACUGCGGGGCUAGAGUGCGGAAGGGGCAACUGGAAUUCUCGGUGUAGCGGUGAAAUGCGUAGAUAUCGAGAGGAACACCUGCGGCGAAGGCGGGUUGCUGGGCUGACACUGACGCUGAUGCGCGAAAGCUAGGGGAGCGAACGGG